Molecule: ribosomal RNA, 260 nt
Filed under: uncultured bacterium
Lineage: Bacteria
Description: partial 16S ribosomal RNA
Rfam family: Bacterial small subunit ribosomal RNA
Source: RNAcentral
GUCCACGCCGUAAACGAUGUCAACUAGCCGUUGGAAUCCUUGAGAUUUAGUGGCGCAGCUAACGCAUUAAGUUGACCGCCUGGGGAGUACGGCCGCAAGGUUAAACUCAAAUGAAUUGACGGGGCCCGCACAAGCGGUGGAGCAUGUGGUUUAAUUCGAAGCAACGCGAAGAACCUUACCAGGCCUUGACAUGCAGAGAACUUUCCAGAGAUGGAUUGGUGCCUUCGGGAACUCUGACACAGGUGCUGCAUGGCUGUCGU